RNAcentral lists this transfer RNA (93 nucleotides) under Kiritimatiellaceae bacterium. RNAcentral's name for it is "tRNA-Ser". It matches the Rfam family "tRNA". Rfam says of the family: Transfer RNA (tRNA) molecules are approximately 80 nucleotides in length. Their secondary structure includes four short double-helical elements and three loops (D, anti-codon, and T loops). The record is from RNAcentral. Lineage: Bacteria; Pseudomonadati; Kiritimatiellota; Kiritimatiellia; Kiritimatiellales; Kiritimatiellaceae. RNAcentral also lists the same sequence under 3 other names.
GGAGAGGUGGCUGAGUGGCUUAAAGCAGUGGUUUGCUAAACCGCCGUACGCCGUAAAGGCGUACCGGGGGUUCGAAUCCCCCCCUCUCCGCCA